Small nucleolar RNA from Piliocolobus tephrosceles (Ugandan red Colobus), 104 nucleotides. RefSeq annotates it as small nucleolar RNA U109. The record is from RefSeq and is a predicted model, not a curated record. The transcript has a single exon. NCBI's taxonomy places the organism in Eukaryota, Metazoa, Chordata, Mammalia, Primates, Cercopithecidae.
CUGGACGACAGAGCUAUACUUCAUCUCAAAAACAAAAAAAAGGAUCCUCAGGGCUGCCAACUUUAUAGUAGAAGUCGAGGUGGUAGUGGAUUUCUCCUACACAA